This 253-nucleotide ribosomal RNA is filed under the name uncultured bacterium. RNAcentral describes it as "partial 16S ribosomal RNA". It matches the Rfam family "Bacterial small subunit ribosomal RNA", at positions 524 to 776 of the family's 1533-position model. The record is from RNAcentral.
UACGGAGGGGGCUAGCGUUGUUCGGAAUUACUGGGCGUAAAGCGCACGUAGGCGGAUUGGAAAGUCAGAGGUGAAAUCCCAGGGCUCAACCUUGGAACUGCCUUUGAAACUCCCGAGUCUGAGUUCGAGAGAGGUGAGUGGAAUUCCGAGUGUAGAGGUGAAAUUCGUAGAUAUUCGGAGGAACACCAGUGGCGAAGGCGGCUCACUGGCUCGAUACUGACGCUGAGGUGCGAAAGCGUGGGGAGCAAACAGG